AAGGAGUCUAACAUGUAUGCGAGUCUGCGGGUCCAAAAACCCAUAGGCGUAAUGAAAGUGAAUAUAAGGUGCGAAGCGCAAGCAGCAGCACCGACCGAUCUGGAUCUUCUGUGAUGGAUUUGAGUAAGAGCAUACAUGUUGGGACCCGAAAGAUGGUGAACUAGGCCUGAAUAGGGUGAAGCCAGGGGAAACUCUGGUGGAGGCUCGUAGCGAUUCUGACGUGCAAAUCGUUCGUCAAACUUGGGUAUAGGGGCGAAAGACUAAUCGAACCAUCUAGUAGCUGGUUCCUGC
Molecule: unclassified non-coding RNA, 291 nt
Filed under: uncultured fungus
Lineage: Eukaryota; Fungi
Description: partial contains 5.8S rRNA, ITS2 and 28S rRNA
Rfam family: Eukaryotic large subunit ribosomal RNA
Source: RNAcentral